RNAcentral lists this ribosomal RNA (250 nucleotides) under uncultured Gammaproteobacteria bacterium. RNAcentral describes it as "partial 16S ribosomal RNA". It matches the Rfam family "Bacterial small subunit ribosomal RNA", at positions 524 to 773 of the family's 1533-position model. Lineage: Bacteria; Pseudomonadati; Pseudomonadota; Gammaproteobacteria. The record is from RNAcentral.
UACAGAGGGUGCGAGCGUUAAUCGGAAUUACUGGGCGUAAAGCGUGCGUAGACGGUUAUUUAAGUCGGGUGUGAAAGCCCCGGGCUCAACCUGGGAAUUGCAUUCGAGACUGAAUAGCUAGGGUACGGUAGAGGGAAGCGGAAUUUCCGGUGUAGCGGUGAAAUGCGUAGAUAUCGGAAGGAACAUCAGUGGCGAAAGCGGCUUCCUGGACCAGUACCGACGUUCAGGCACGAAAGCGUGGGGAGCAAAC